CUUGCUUGAUCUUAAUGUACUCUUUUUCCCUACGAUUAGGAGCAUUUUUCCCACUUGGUUUUUGCUACCUAACUAGGUUUUAACGAGGCACCCACCUUGGGCUGAUCAUAUCCCUGAUGACGUCCUGUAGACGUUUCUUUUGACUUUGCAUUUCUCACGCAUUUUUCCUUAGACUAUGAAUUUUGUCCCUACUUGGGUUUUUGCCAUAGCCUUAGGGUUUUUUAGUGAGACUUACUACUUAUGCAAGUUCCUACCUUAUUGAGAAUAAGCGUUGUUCCUUGGAAUCAUUGCCGACGAGUCGACUUCCUCAACUUCUGCAUGAUGCUGAAUCUACCUUGAGUAUUUACCCACUCAAGGGGGAGUGUUGUAAACAUUCCUAGUUUAAGUAUGAUUGUGUAAAUCCUAGAUAAGAUUUGAUUCUAGUUAUCCUUUCCUAUUGCAACUUGUAUUACUUGGAGGAGAAGGAAUAUCUUCUCUCCCUUUACUACUAUAAAUAAAGGCACAAUGUAGGAGGGAUAACAACACACACAUUCCCCUACAAUUCUACAAACACACAUCUCUCUCUUCUCUCUCUCUGCCGCCGGCUCUAGUCCCUCUGUCAGAUAAAAUAGACCACAACAGUAUCAGUGUUUUUCAACGGAAAUGUCAAUUUCUAUAUGGCAUGACAUGGAAUGCAAUAAAUAGAGUUACUGUCAAAUUUAACAGCAGCUUCAAAUCUAUUUUCAGUAACUAAUAAAUAUUUCUUUAUAAUUUUUGUUAUUAUCUUUUGUUUUAAAAUUACUAAUUACAAUUAUAAAAAGUUAAUAAUGCAAUUAAUGAUAGUUUCAAUUUGACAUGGCGGAUAGAGAACCAAAUUUACAAAAAGAUCAAUGUCCCACAUAAGUCUUCAAAUUUAAAUUUUGUGUUUAAAAAUUGAAUGAGGAUCCUCUCUGGAUCCUCUUUGUAAGGAUCAAGAUAAUUUUUUAGUCGUGUUCGUUCAUCGUAAAUUACCACGAAGGCCGAUCUCAAAAAUCGAAGAGGCGCUCGCUUUCU
Molecule: long non-coding RNA, 1032 nt
Filed under: Malus domestica (apple)
Lineage: Eukaryota; Viridiplantae; Streptophyta; Magnoliopsida; Rosales; Rosaceae
Description: long non-coding RNA (MDOM_LNC009436)
Source: RNAcentral